This 253-nucleotide ribosomal RNA is filed under the name uncultured bacterium. RNAcentral describes it as "partial 16S ribosomal RNA". It matches the Rfam family "Bacterial small subunit ribosomal RNA", at positions 524 to 776 of the family's 1533-position model. The record is from RNAcentral.
UACGUAGGGUGCGAGCGUUGUCCGGAUUUACUGGGCGUAAAGCGCACGUAGGCGGAUUGUUAAGUCAGGGGUGAAAUCCUGGAGCUCAACUCCAGAACUGCCUUUGAUACUGGCGAUCUCGAGUCCGGGAGAGGUGAGUGGAACUGCGAGUGUAGAGGUGAAAUUCGUAGAUAUUCGCAAGAACACCAGUGGCGAAGGCGGCUCACUGGCCCGGUACUGACGCUGAGGUGCGAAAGCGUGGGGAGCAAACAGG